AGCAGCCGCGGUAAUUCCAGCUCCAAUAGCGUAUAUUAAAGUUGCUGCAGUUAAAAAGCUCGUAGUUGAAUUUCGGGACCAAUAUGCCGGUCGUGCCUCGGUACGUACUGGCAUCGUUGGUUUCUCCCUUCUGACGAACCAUGAUGUCAUUUAUUUGGUGUCGUGGGGAAUCAGGACUGUUACUUUGAAAAAAUUAGAGUGUUUAAAGCAGGCUCACGCUUGAAUACAUUAGCAUGGAAUAAUGAAAUAGGACGUUUGAUUCUAUUUUGUUGGUUUCUAGGAUCGACGUAAUGAUUAAUAGGGAUAGUUGGGGGCAUUAGUAUUCAGUUGUCAGAGGUGAAAUUCUUGGAUUUAUUGAAGACUAACUUCUGCGAAAGCAUUUGCCAAGGAUGUUUUCAUUAAUCAAGAACGAAAGUUAGGGGAUCGAAGACGAUCAGAUACCGUCGUAGUCUUAACCAUAAACUAUGCCGACUAGGAAUCGGACGAAGUUAAUUUUUAAUGACUCGUUUGGCACCUUACG
RNAcentral lists this ribosomal RNA (520 nucleotides) under uncultured Glomus. RNAcentral describes it as "SSU rRNA". It matches the Rfam family "Eukaryotic small subunit ribosomal RNA", at positions 569 to 1092 of the family's 1831-position model. Lineage: Eukaryota; Fungi; Glomeromycota; Glomeromycetes; Glomerales; Glomeraceae. The record is from RNAcentral.